Long non-coding RNA from Oncorhynchus tshawytscha (Chinook salmon), 2488 nucleotides. The record is from Ensembl. NCBI's taxonomy places the organism in Eukaryota, Metazoa, Chordata, Actinopteri, Salmoniformes, Salmonidae.
AGGUGUGCGUAAUGAUGGUGGCAGGAGUGCGUAAUGCAGGGCAGUCUGGCGCCAGGGAAGAGCGGGAGCAGGGCUGACACAACUAGACAGUGACAACUGUCUGGCGUUUGGAGUUUGCGACAGAAACUACUCCCAAGUUGAGAGGUGGAUAAUGCAGAGACAGAGAGUCAGUGAAACAACUCCACACAAGAUGAAGCAUUGGGGAUUCAUGUGCUAGCUACAGAAAGCAUUCACACGCCUGGACUUUUUCCACAUUUUGUUGUUACAAAGUGGGGUGAAAAUGGAUUUAAUUGUCAUAUUUUGCCAACGAUCUACACAAAAUACAAUGCAAUGUCAAAGUUACUUUUUUAUAAUUAAUGUUAAAUACAUCACUAAUAUAUCCUGAUUAGAUGAGUAUUUAUCCCCCUGAUUCAAUACAUGUUAGAAUCACCUUUGGCAGCAAUUACAGCUGUGAGUCUUUCUGGGUAAGUGGAGCAUCUUGCAUCUGGAGCAAAGACUUUGCACACCUGGAUCUUUGCACACCUGGAUUGUACAAUAUUUACACAUUAUUCUUAAAAAAAUAUUAUUGAAGCUCUGUCAAGUUAGUUUUUGUUCAUUGCUAGACAGCCAUAGAUUGUCAUACAUUUUCAAGACGAUUUAAGUCAAAACUGUAACUAGGCCACUGUUUUAGGUAAUUUCCUGCUGAAAGAUGAAUUUGUCUAGUUUCCCUUUAGGAUUUUUGCUUGUGCUUAGCUCUAUUCCAUUUCUUUUAAUCCUAAAAAACACCUUAGUCCUUGCUGAUGACAAGCAUAGCCAUAACAUGACGCAGCCACCAACAUGCUUGAAAAUAUGAAGAGCGGUACUCCGUGAUGUGUUGUGAUCGAUUUGCCCCAAACAUAACGCUUUUGAAUUCAGGCCAAAAAGUUAAUUUCUUUGCCCAAUUUUUGACAGUAUUACUUUAGUGCCUUAUUGCAAACAGGAUGCAUGUUUUUGAAUGUUUUUGUAUUAUGUACAGGCUUCCUUCUUUUCAAUCUGUCAUUUAGGUUAGUAGUGUUUAGUAACUACAAUGUUGUUGAUCCAUAAUUAAUAACUGCACCAUGCUCAAAGGGAUAUUCAAUGUCUGCCUUUUUUUAACCAUCUACCUAUAGAUGCCUCUCUUUGAACCAUUGGAAAGCCUCUGUUUUUUUUGUGGUUGAAUAUGUGCUUCAAAUUCUCUGCUUGACUGAGGGACCUUACAAUUAUCUGUAUGUGUGGUGUACAGAGAUGGGGUAGUUGUUUAAAAAUAAUGUUAAACAUUAUUAUUGCACGCAGGUUGAGUCCAUGCAACUUAUUUUGUGUAUUGUUAAGCACAUUUUUACUCCUGAACUUAUUUAGGCUUGCCAUAACAAAAGGGUUGAAUACUUAGUGGCUCAAGACAUUUCAGCUUUUCAUGUUUCAGUAAUUUUGUACACAUGUAUAAAAACAUAAUUCCACUUUGACAUUAUGGGGUAUUGUGUGUAGAUCAGUGACACAUAAUCUCAAUUUAAUCUAUUUUACAUUCAGGCUGUAACACAACAAAAUGUGGAAUAAGUCAAGGUGUCUGAAUACUUUCUGAAGGCACUGUAAAUUAUAACAGUACUAACUUACAUUGGCUGGGGUCUAUUCAUAGGCAGUUGAAGCUCCAAACCUCAAGGAUACACUGCAGGAAAAAUAUAUAAUUAUUUACUGUAGAAAUAAUCUAGCUAGCUAGUUAUAUUGCUGUCAGAGAAACCACAGAUAGAACAAGAAGCUAGUUAUAAAAAAUAUUUGGAGAAACCCAGACCACAUCAUAAAGCUAGCUAGCUGCUGUAGUAACAAGCAACACAUUGCUUGGCAAGCAUAAUUUAACUUUGAUUAGCUUUGGAAAUUCAAUUAUAUCUAACACAUGCAUCACAUACUAACUCAGAUCUUUAACAUCCAAAACCAUUCUGACCUUGGAAAGUCACAGUGAAUGUUGUGGUAGCAAGCUAAAUAAGGAGCUAGCUAGCAAACUAGCUGUGUUAGCUAGCUUGGUGAAAAUUUUAACAGCCUGCAAGCAAGAGUUAUCUUCUUCCUUUGUCACUCGCCAGGUGAAAAACAUAUUUUAAAUGAAUGUUAUGAAUAUAAAAUCAAAUUAAAUCCCAUUAUCCAUGAAAAAUAAAAACAUAUCUUUGGAGGUGACAGCUGCUCUGUCAGUUGAGGGCGGGGCUGGCAGCUAAUUUUUACUAUGUUUCAUAAGUGGCAGGUAGGCUAUACCUCAGCUGCAAAAUGUGUUUUCAACUACAACUCAAUGAUCUAACUUUUGCAUGCAAACCCCACUUUGGAAACCUAUGCUAAGGUACCAGAGGUCAAAAGACUCAACAUUAUCAUCAGGGUAGAGAAUGUGUAUUUUAGACAUAUAUUUAAAAGCGAAGAAAGAGUAUUGUGAAUUAUUUCAUUUGUAUGAUAUGGUGUGACACCAAAGAAUGGCACUUGUAUGAUACUGUAAAUAAAGGUGCUGUUUAUAUCCAUA